RNAcentral lists this microRNA precursor (63 nucleotides) under Ornithorhynchus anatinus (platypus). RNAcentral's name for it is "Oan-Mir-1381_pre stem-loop". The record is from RNAcentral. Lineage: Eukaryota; Metazoa; Chordata; Mammalia; Monotremata; Ornithorhynchidae.
UCCCUCGCCCCCUCUCCGGAGCCGUCCCCUCUGACUCACCGGUACGGGAGGUUGCGAGGUUCG